This 335-nucleotide long non-coding RNA is filed under the name Marmota monax (woodchuck). The record is from RNAcentral. Lineage: Eukaryota; Metazoa; Chordata; Mammalia; Rodentia; Sciuridae.
GUAGGAGUGGCGUUUCCCCUCUUUUCCGAAGCCCUCGCGACACCCACUCUUUCCCAUAGCCGACGAGGUGCGCUCCAGUCCCAAAUGUAACUGGUGUAACCGUACCCCACCCCUACCCCGCCGCGGUUCAGGACCACUUUUUGUAAUACUUUUGUAAUCUAUUCCUGUAAAUAAGAGUUGCUUUGCCAGAGCAGGAGCCCCUAGGGCUGUAUUUAUCUCUGAGGCAUGGUGUGUGGUGCAACAGGGACUUUGUAUGUUUAUACGUCGGGCGGGAGAGCCGAGGGCGCUCGCUCGCUCAGGUGUUCGAAAUAAAAACGCUAAUUUAUACCACGGUG